This is a non-coding RNA of Malus domestica (apple), 5338 nucleotides long. NCBI's taxonomy places the organism in Eukaryota, Viridiplantae, Streptophyta, Magnoliopsida, Rosales, Rosaceae. The record is from RefSeq and is a predicted model, not a curated record.
CCUCAGGCUUCAAGCCCGAUUUGUAGCCUUUGGGCUGCAUCUCAGGUUUGACUCGGGGAGAAAGAGGGGAUGGGGACAUAAGGGCUGACAAAUUGGAGAGAGGAGACAGCUGGUUGUGGCUGUGGCUGUGGCUGUGGCUGUGGCUGUGGCGAGAGGAGAGGAGGGGCACAGAGGGACGGACAGAUUGGAGAGAGAUGGGAGCUACGGGUGAUCUUGAUGCCGCGUGUUGAUAAUCGUGGAAAGGUCGGGGUGCGAUGGUCGCUUUAGUCUGUAGGGUUUCGAACGGAUUGGGUGGGUUAGGGAGACUUUCAUUUCCUUUCUUUCUGUGAUCUGCAGAGGGACUCGGUGAGACCAUGCCGUCAGGAGAGAGAGCAGGAGGGAGAGAGAGGGAUUUGGUGAGGGGAAGGCAUGCGGCUUGCAGAGAUGAGGAUGAGAAAGGGGGAGGGACAAAGGAAGAGAGAGAGAUAGGGAUUGGGUGAGGGGAAGGCAUACGGCUUGCAGGUAGACAGAGUCACAGGGGUGUACGAUUCAAGGGAGAGAGAGAGAGAGAGAGAGAGAGGAGAUUGAGUGGUGGCAUCACUCUUACUACCUGCACUCCUGAGGCCGGCUACCAGAGAGAAGGACACAUGAGAGGAGAGAAAGAAAGAAAGAGAGAGCGCGCAGAGGCAGGAAGGCCUGAGAUUGAGGACAAAGGCCAUGGUUGCACAGAAUGACUGAGAUUUGAAGCCCAUGACAGCCUCAGCUGAUUGAAAAGCUUCAGAUUCGAAAUUGUGAUUUUGGUCAGCAAACCCAGCUCCAAUCAUCUACAAAUCAAACCUCACGAAGGCAAAUUACUAUAUUGCCUAUUUUCCUUUCAAAUCCAACGGGUCGAGGCAGGCUAGAGCUGGUAUAGAUUACAAAUAUUAGUUUUGCAUAGCACUGUAAUUUUGAUUGGUGAGAUCGGCCUCAUUAAAAAAAAAAAAAAAAAAAAAGAACAGCCAUCUUUCAAUUCAAUAGUAAAGGCCUUCAUUCAAAUAUGAGUUUUGCAUAGCACUAUAAACAUUAUAUGUAGUUACAGAAUUGCUGUUUUGAUUGGUAGCUCUAUUGAUUUUUGUUUAGUUGAUUUGAAUUUAUACCGAAUUUACUUAAUUUUUAGUACAAUUAUUUGCUUUCUGGUUUUUAAUUUAAAGACUAGGAGUUUGAAUGGUGUAGUGGAGGUUGAUGUUGUUUCCCACAUUUUUGUUAUGAAUUCUCAAUGUUUGAUGAAUUCGGGAAAUCAAUUUUGUUAUCUCUUAUGCAGUUAUGAUCGUAUGAGUUGGAAUUUAGAUUUCACACACAUGUAAACUGAAAAAAUAAAAUAGAUUUCGUAAUUCGAAGUUAGCCGACCCCACAUGAUGGGAAAAGGCUUAAGAAGAAGAAGUUAGCUCUAAACUAUAGAAGCAUGGAAGUUUAUGUGGACCUUAGAUUGUUUUGAAAAAUAAUUGAUUGAUUCAAGAAAGCAAAGACCUUGGAACCUUAACUGUCUCAUUGUAAUCCAUCACCAAGUUCUGGUAAUUUAUGUUCUAUUUUUUCAGUCAUCUGAAACUGAAUUGCAUUUGGGUGUUUGUCUUUGAUGCUAUUUUUUGGAUGUAGGUAACUAGAUUCUUAUUCUCUGGGAAUUGUAUUCGUUUGUUCAAUCUCAGUAUUUUACCAAUAUUCUCACGAUGUCCUUUGUUUUUAAUCUAUAAUUUAUUUUGUCCAAUUCAUGAAAAAGUUGAUGAAAAAGUUGCAGUUUCGGAAAUGACUGUCAGCAAUCAAGAUGUGAAAAAGAAGUCUUUUAUUCAUAAAAUCUUCACCUCAAAGGAGAAAGAAGGAAGCGGCUCUUUGGAUUUCUCAGGUGAGUCUCUAAUGGUUGACUGCAACUGAAUAUCCUUCUUCCUUUCUUCUUUGUUUGAAACAGUGAUAACUCAGUCAACUAUGAGUAGAUGUAUAGUGGCCUGCUUCAGUGCUCACUUGGUAAAGUUUUUUGGUCACAUAAAGGUGCUAGAGUUGGGAACUUUUUGGAUCUUAAAUCAUUGGUUGCCUAACAUUCUCUAUAUUGAAAGGCAUCAUUUUUGUUACCACAUUUUAUAUAUUUUAGACAAUGAAUAUGAGUGCAGUGGACUCUGAGUCAGUGAACAGGGAGUUACUAAUUUUGUUAUAUGAGAUUUGGUUAAAUGUCUAAUACACAUGGUUGCUGAGGUUUGUUUACAUUGGUGGUAAAUUCUUGCUUUCUUUUCAAUUUUGUUUUAUUGUAAUUCGUCUUGGUUUAUGGAUCUUGCAUUGCUGACGUGAAAUGGUUAUAUUUCAAUGUUUGUGAGAUGUCGAAUUGUGUGUUUGUGGCUUAGUGAGAGUUAGAUUUAGAUUGUGUAGAAAAUGUGGGCUUCGGAGUGUAACCCAAUUAGCAAUUUGGAGUGAUUGAGGAGAAGUAUUCUGAGCUGCAGUAGGACUUGGUGAGACCAUGCCGUCAGGAGAGAGAGCGAGCGAGCAGAGAGAGAAGAGGGAGGGAGGGAGAGAGAUAGGGAUUUGGUGAGAGGAAGAGAAAGGAGGGAUGUGACUUUUGACUCGGGGAGAGAUAACUGUGCCUGUUGCUUCGGUCAGAGCAUUGUUGGGGGAGGAGGACAGAGGGACUGACAGAUUGGAGAGAGAUGGGAGCUAGGGGUUUUGACUCGGUGAGAUUGUGAGGGAGAGGGGGAUGGCAGAGACAGAUGAGAGGGAGCUGGGCGUGGGAAUUGCAGAGAGAGAAAGAGAACUCAGAAGAUAUUUGUUUUGUUGAGAGCUGACAAGAAAAGGGGAGAAACAACGGCAAAGUGACAGAAUUUGAGAAUCUGAAGAAAAAAAUGAUUAGUGGGGUUUUAGCUUGUGGCACUUUCUUCCCUGCUUUCUAAACACAUUUUUCUCAACACACCCCUUCAAGCUCUGGAAGUGUUUGCUCAAAUUGGAGCUCAAAAGCGUCAAAUUUUAUGGAACAAAUGGUCUCAAAGAAGCAGAUUACACUGCGCAGUAGCAGCGCAGGACGCGGUGGGCCUGGGUUUGCCGCUUGAAGAUGACGUGUUCCUGAUAGUCGGUCACUUCCGUGACAGUUCCGAACGAAGGAUUCGGCUCCCAAGCUCCGAUGAUUGUGUCUGGCAAAGAGAAUUCAGGAAGAGUGGAAGAUCCAAGAAGGAUUUGCCAGGCGAGUUCUUUUGUUUUUUAUUUUGAAUUUCCUUUUAAAUAACUGUUUUGAAUUAAUGGUAGUGAAGUUUUCUCAUACUUAGCCUAUUCAUUUUUAUCAAAUAUUUUGCACUGACUAUUUCAUGAUGCUGACUGAUGUAAUUAAUUUGGUUUUGUACUGAAAGUUGGAGUUGAGAAUAUAUGGAAUAUAGUUGUUGGAUUGGUGUUUGUACUAUAGAAACUUAGGUGUGCUCACCCCCUUUUCAUGGACAUCCAUAGCUUAUGAGACGCUGUUCAAGUCGGACCACUGGUGAAUGCCUAAACUGUUGUGCUUAAAUAGAUUCAUCAACUCAAUAUUGUCGUUAAUUUUUGUUUUGAGUCCAUUUUCCCUGCUGCUGUUCUAUUAGGAUUAUAAGCUCAGUCGUUCAGGCAUGACACAUUUUCAGUGGGAAGUCAUAAGCAUAAUUCAUUUUUUUUUAGAUUAGACUCAAGAUUUUUAUUUGCAUUAUUCUUCCGUUUUACAAAUAUAAUUGGCUGCCUUAAUGAUUGUUGAUGAAUCAUCACGAAAGUCCAUUUCUCUUUUAAUCAUUGACUAUUUUUUUUCUUCUUCAUUGGCAGUCGAGGCAAAAGGUUCUUGCGAUUUCAAUCAAAUGCAAACUGUGCAAGUAUAUAUGUUGUAUGCACACAUGCAUAUAAACUAAUAUAAUAUAUAUACAUGAUUUCAUGUGUUAAAGAGUGUACUUGUUCUUAAAUAAAGGUUCUGCUGACAAAUGUGUUUAACAAUAUGAUCUUACAACUCAUCUUUAAACUUUGUAUAACUGAAAUAUUAUUCAUCAAUUGUAACUUCCCCUGUUGCUAUUUGCUAAUGACACAAGCUAUGAAGAUUGUACUCAUUCUGUUCGUAGAUGCAAGGCUAGAAAUUAGGUUUGUAUGGGGUUAAAUCAAUUGAUGCUAUAGUAUUUGUUAAAAUUGUAAGAUUUGGUGGUUUGGUAAAUUGAUUAUAGUAAUGUUGUUUGUGGUUUGGGUUCUCCUUUUGUUUUGGAUAGAUGAUGCUUGAUUGUGGUUUAAGUUUUUAUUAUUAUUAUAUUCCCUGCACAUUGCAAAAUUCUGGUACUAUUUGAGGAUUUUGGUGUUGAAAGUCUAGGGUUUAGUGGAAUGAAAAGAAGGGAUGUAUGCGUUUCGGAAAUGUGUUUUUAAGGUGAAUGCAAACAGUGCAAAACGCGGUCUGAAAAAUGGACGAAAGCGAGCAUUUCGACUUGCUGCUGCAAUACACAGAUCAAGUGGAUUAAUUAUAGCUACGUGGGGUGCUUCAGAGUGUACGGCAUGUGGAUAACUUUUCAGUGGUCGAAUAGUGUUCUUCAAAAUGUUUUGAUUAAUUUUCUUGAAGUUCAGUUGCUAGCUAGUAUAUGUAUAUUUUUUUAAGGGAUGAUAGUGUUCUCAUUCCCUUAAUCUUAUUAAAAUAAAAACAGAAAUACAAACAAGGGUGUGGAUCCAAAUUUCUGCCUUUUUUUUCUUGGACGAAAAUGCACCUGCAAAACAAUUAACACUUUAGGUUAAGGUCAAGAGCGUCACGCGCCCAUGAUGAAUGGGGGACCUUUGGCCGAAGAACUUCCGAUGUCAAAGUUAGAAUUUGAGGGAGAAAGUAUUUGGAGAAAUCUGGAGAAUUUCAAAAGAGAAUUAGAUUCAGGUUGUUUGAGAAAAUGAGGGGCUAUAUAUGGAGGUGUGGCCGACCCUAUUAGGAAAUUUGGGACCGGUCACAUAUGGUUGAUGUGUGGGAUUGAUUGCAAGAUAUUAUGUGAGAUAAUAUCUUACAAUUAAUUUGGUAAUUAAUCAAUUAAUCCCAAUUUGAAAAGAAUAAUUGGGAGUUAUCUUGUGGGUGAGAAUUUGAUGAGGAGUGAUGAGAGAGUUUUAAAAGAAUACCAUUUUGAUCACCUUUGACCUUGAUUGAGUUAUUGUUUGUUACAUGUGUGGGAAUCUUGAUGUGUUUUAAGGGUAAUUUUGUCUUUUUAACUCAAAAGUCUAUGUGUCGCCUUUAUAUUUUUCUUGAUUAUUUUUUGUUCCAAGGCAAUACAAAGCCAAACCUCCUUGAGGAAAAAAAAGGUAAAACCAAAAAUCAACCCCACAUACAAAGAAAACAUAUAAUGAAAUCAUUUGAAACGAUGGUUGGUAAAAGCAGAAAGAGCAAAAG